GUCCGCCAGCCAGCCGGGGCAGUGGGGAGAAAGGCUCAGUGGAGUGAAUCUGACACUUGCAACGGCCCAAGAGAACUACGCUUCCACCAUGACGUUUGCUGUUUGGAAGCAGAGUUUCUGAUCAUUCUGAUAAUGUAAAAACUGUUGGUUAGCUUCCUUCUGAGCUGUCGGUAAAAGGCACACUGAUUUUAAACAUUAGUAGGAAUAUGAAAUCUGGAUAAGAGAUUGUUGGUCCCACAGGACGUUCAAGCUUCAAAGGAACAGAUGAACAUUUGCAUAACCUUCUAUGUGAAGACAGCAGCCAGAGCUAAUUUUUAAUUUAUUUCCCCCUAGAGGAAAUAUCUCUUGGUUACUCUUGGUCAGCCACACAAUGAUGGUUCAGUAAAGUCAUUUAGGAAUCUGGAGGAAAAAAUCCAAAAAGGUUCUGAAGGUGAAGGGAAAAUAAACAUCCAAGAACAGAUUUUUCCCCGCUAAAUUUAGGUGCAUAAAUAGUAUACAAAUAGAAGGUUUGCAUUGUAGACUUUACUGGAUGACAUUAGCAUAUUUGAAUUUGCUGAGUUGUCUCUCUUACUUUGGUAUAAUAUUGUUUGUUAUGGACUGAAUCCUUUUGUUUUCCCCAAAUUCCUAGUUGGAAUCUAAUCCCCAUUGUGGUGGUAUUUGGAGGCGGGGCCUUUGGGAAGUGAUUAGGUCAGGAGGGUGGAGCCCUCAUGAAUGGGACUAGUGCCCUUAAAAGAGACCAGAGAGCUAGCUCGCUCUUUUCCCACUGCGUGAGGGAUGCAAUGAGAAGUCAGCAAUCUGCAAUCUGGAGGAGGUUCUCACCACAACCCACCACGCUGGCACCCUGAUCUCAGACUUCCAGCCUCCAGAACUAUGCCGCAUUGAAGCAGACACCUGAGAAGAAAAAUAUGAUCCCUGAAUUCAAAAGAGUCACAGGCUAUUGGGCAUGACCGGCAAGGGCAGAAUGAUGAAGCAAAGAGAGAAUGGGCUUUCAAGUCAGACAGACCUGGAUGUGAACUAUGGAUCUAAAAAGUUGUAUGACUCCAAGCAAUUUACUUAAGGAAUUCGAAGUUCAAUUGUCUCAUCUGUAAAAACUUCUAGAAUCUGUUUGAAUUAAAUAAGAUAAUCUGUAUGCUCCA
This is a non-coding RNA of Equus caballus (horse), 1136 nucleotides long. NCBI's taxonomy places the organism in Eukaryota, Metazoa, Chordata, Mammalia, Perissodactyla, Equidae. The record is from RefSeq and is a predicted model, not a curated record.